AUACGUAGGUGGCGAGCGUUACUCGGAAUUACUAGGCGUAAAGCGUAUGUAGGUGGUUAGAUAAGUCUAUGGUGAAAUUUCCUGGCUUAACUGGGAAGGGACAUAGAUACUAUCUGGCUUGAGUGUGGGAGGGGGAGACGGAAUUCCUGGUGUAGCGGUGAAAUGCGUAGAUAUCAGGAGGAACACCGAUGGCGAAAGCAGUCUCCUGGCCCAAUACUGACACUGAGGUACGAAAGCUAGGGUAGCAAACAGGAUUAGAUACCCUGGUAGUCCUAGCUGUAAACGAUGUUCACUAGAUGUGGGAGGUAUCGACCCCUUCCGCGUCGACGCUAACGCAUUAAGUGAACCGCCUGGGGAGUACGGCCGCAAGGUUGAA
RNAcentral lists this ribosomal RNA (376 nucleotides) under uncultured bacterium. RNAcentral's name for it is "bacterial SSU rRNA". It matches the Rfam family "Bacterial small subunit ribosomal RNA", at positions 523 to 898 of the family's 1533-position model. The record is from RNAcentral.